This 1279-nucleotide long non-coding RNA is filed under the name Canis lupus familiaris (dog). RNAcentral's name for it is "lncRNA (ENSCAFG00845026915.1)". The record is from RNAcentral. Lineage: Eukaryota; Metazoa; Chordata; Mammalia; Carnivora; Canidae.
GUUAAUAAUUUUUUUUUUAUGAUAGUCACAGAGAGAGAGAGGCAGAGACACAGGCAGAGGGAGAAGCAGACUCCAUGCACCGGGAGCCCGACGUGGGAUUCGAUCCCGGGUCUCCAGGAUCGCGCCCUGGGCCAAGGGCAGGCGCUAAACUGCUGCGCCAGCCAGGGAUCCCCAUGAAAAAGUUUAUAAUACCAAAGGGAGUGUCAAAACUGGAAAGAAGGGAUCGCCAAAGUUGACUGCAAAUACAUUUAAAACAUCUCUAUGGCCGCAGAUACAACAAACAACUUGGAGAAAAUAUUCACAACGUCUACAAGACACCCAUAGUAUAUGAAGAAUGCCUACAAAUCAAUGUAAAAGAGAUGUGGAAGGGCAGGCAAUACACAGAGUGAAAGUUGCAAAGGAUCAAUAAGCAUGAAAAAGUAAUACAUUUUAUUAGGAUUUGGUAAACUGCAAAAUAGAAAAAAUAAUAUGUAAAAUGUAGGGUCAUUUAAAGUAAUCAGAAUAUAAUCAUCUAUAAAAUACAGAUAUACAAAACGUAUUAAGCUAUAAAAUUAUCACAAAAUCUAAGAACUAAGGAAGUCAUUAAAGGCUAAGUCUCCUUCUGGCUUUACCAUUCUUAAUGUACAACUUAUCCUCAUAGUCUCAAGAUGGCUGCUGUGUCCCAGACAUUACACCUGGGUUCUAGGCAUAGAGAAGGGAAGAAUGGCAAGAGGAGAACCGUACAUGCCAGCUGGAUUGGACCUACACAUCAGUAAACUUGUACCUUUCCUAGAAGCCUAAUCUCUAGAAUGACACUUCAACCUUACUGGCAAAACUGUGACAUAGUUUACUCCUAACUCUUGGGAUUUGAGGAGGAGCAUAUCUUUUAAAUGAAGAUAUUUUUGUGCCAAACUAAAAUGUGGUUUUGUUAACAAGCAAGAAGUGGAACAUAUAUCUUGCUUGGUCAACUAGUGAUGCUGUGGGAAGGAAGCACCGAGACUAGUCCUUGGUACGUUGAACAUGCUCAAUAAACAUUAGUUAAAGAAAUGGGAUUUUUUAUAUUAUCAUCUACACAAUCCCCCAGAAUGACAGUGAAGGGGGGGACCAAGAUGAGAGCCGAGCAUCAGCUACAGAGGAAACGAGGGCCCACGGAACAGAAGGCUCCUUGAGAUCAAGGAUGAGGUGGGUACAGUGAUGCCGUGCUUGCUGCCUGAGGUCACUGAAAACCCUGAGAGCAGAGUCAGAUACAAAGUAUGAGAUAGUUGUGAUCCGUCUCUGGAAUUGCGCUGUUCAGUGCCAC